RNAcentral lists this small nucleolar RNA (85 nucleotides) under Catagonus wagneri (Chacoan peccary). The record is from RNAcentral. Lineage: Eukaryota; Metazoa; Chordata; Mammalia; Artiodactyla; Tayassuidae.
UCUCCGUGACGCAAGUCCAGUAGAUCCUUCUGACCCUCCACUGUGGACUCACUAGCUGGGGGAUGAAGAGAGCGUGACUGAGAGA